UACGUAGGGGGCAAGCGUUGUCCGGAAUCAUUGGGCGUAAAGCGCGUGUAGGCGGUUCGGUAAGUCGGCUGUGAAAGUCCAGGGCUCAACCCUGGGAUGCCGGUCGAUACUGCCGGACUAGAGUUCGGAAGAGGCGAGUGGAAUUCCCGGUGUAGCGGUGAAAUGCGCAGAUAUCGGGAGGAACACCAAUGGCGAAGGCAGCUCGCUGGGACGUUACUGACACUGAGGAGCGAAAGCGUGGGGAGCGAACAGG
Molecule: ribosomal RNA, 253 nt
Filed under: uncultured bacterium
Lineage: Bacteria
Description: partial 16S ribosomal RNA
Rfam family: Bacterial small subunit ribosomal RNA
Source: RNAcentral